RNAcentral lists this long non-coding RNA (412 nucleotides) under Cyanistes caeruleus (blue tit). RNAcentral's name for it is "lncRNA (ENSCCEG00000014823.1)". The record is from RNAcentral. Lineage: Eukaryota; Metazoa; Chordata; Aves; Passeriformes; Paridae.
UCACUUCAAAGAUAUUACCUAGGAGUCAAAUUCUCUGAAGGUGGUGAGAGGAAAGGUGAACAGAAAUGCUGCUUUGUGGAUAUCCUCAAGUCCUUGCACAAGGUGCCUUGUAGGAAAUACCAAAACUUGGUCAUAUUGCAGUGAGGCAGUGAGGGGUAUAUCAGCGUGUCUUCAAAAGCAAUGCUGUAAAGAGUCCAUCAGGUGUACCCUAAUCAAGGGAUGAGGGGAGUAUAGAAGACACCAACCUCAUCGAAAUCAGUCAUGGAGCUUCAUCACCACAAGAAUCAUUUUUCAGUGCUGUCCCUAUUUUUCUCCCAGCCCAAUUUUCAAGUGCUAAAAUGAAAAAUUUUUUGCUUUGAGAAGUGAAACCUUUUGGAACUGGAGGAGAAAAUGAGUUCCCCUGAUACCUGGC